RNAcentral lists this ribosomal RNA (449 nucleotides) under uncultured bacterium. RNAcentral describes it as "partial 16S ribosomal RNA". It matches the Rfam family "Bacterial small subunit ribosomal RNA", at positions 29 to 523 of the family's 1533-position model. The record is from RNAcentral.
AACGAACGCUGGCGGCAUGCCUAAUACAUGCAAGUCGAACGAGAUCUUCGGAUCUAGUGGCGCACGGGUGCGUAACGCGUGGGAAUCUGCCCUUGGGUUCGGAAUAACAGCGGGAGACUGCUGCUAAUACCGGAUGAUGACGUAAGUCCAAAGAUUUAUCGCCCAGGGAUGAGCCCGCGUAGGAUUAGGUAGUUGGUGGGGUAAAGGCCUACCAAGCCUACGAUCCUUAGCUGGUCUGAGAGGAUGAUCAGCCACACUGGGACUGAGACACGGCCCAGACUCCUACGGGAGGCAGCAGUAGGGAAUAUUGGACAAUGGGGGCAACCCUGAUCCAGCAAUGCCGCGUGAGUGAUGAAGGCCUUAGGGUUGUAAAGCUCUUUUACCCGGGAUGAUAAUGACAGUACCGGGAGAAUAAGCCCCGGCUAACUCCGUGCCAGCAGCCGCCGCAG